CCUACGGGGGGCAGCAGUCGAGAAUCAUUCACAAUGGGGGAAACCCUGAUGGUGCGACGCCGCGUGGGGGAAUGAAGGUCUUCGGAUUGUAAACCCCUGUCAUGUGGGAGCAAAUUAAAAAGAUAGUACCACAAGAGGAAGAGACGGCUAACUCUGUGCCAGCAGCCGCGGUAAUACAGAGGUCUCAAGCGUUGUUCGGAAUCACUGGGCGUAAAGCGUGCGUAGGCUGUUUCGUAAGUCGUGUGUGAAAGGCGCGGGCUCAACCCGCGGACGGCACAUGAUACUGGGAGACUAGAGUAAGGGAGGGGGAACCGGAAUUCGCGGUGUAGCAGUGAAAUGCGUAGAUAUCGAGAGGAACACUCGUGGCGAAGGCGGGUUCCUGGACAUUAACUGACGCUGAGGCACGAAGGCCAGGGGAGCGAAAGGGAUUAGAUACCCGGGUAGUC
This 446-nucleotide ribosomal RNA is filed under the name uncultured bacterium. RNAcentral describes it as "partial 16S ribosomal RNA". It matches the Rfam family "Bacterial small subunit ribosomal RNA", at positions 338 to 795 of the family's 1533-position model. The record is from RNAcentral.